This 383-nucleotide ribosomal RNA is filed under the name uncultured eukaryote. Its description in RNAcentral is "partial 18S ribosomal RNA". It matches the Rfam family "Eukaryotic small subunit ribosomal RNA", at positions 592 to 976 of the family's 1831-position model. The record is from RNAcentral.
CAAUAGCGUAUAUUAAAGUGGUUGCAGUUAAAAAGCUCGUAGUUGGAUUUCUGGUGGGAGCGAUCGGUCUGGCGCUUAGCGCGAGUACUUGCAUCGUCUCCGGCCAUCCUUGGGGAGAGUCUGUCUGGCAUUAGGUUGUCGGGCAGAGGAUCCUCAUCGUUUACUGUGAAAAAAUUAGAGUGUUCAAAGCAGGCUUAUGCCGUUGAAUAUAUUAGCAUGGAAUAAUAAGAUAGGACUUUGGUACUAUUUUGUUGGUUUGCGCACCAAAGUAAUGAUUAAUAGGGACAGUUGGGGGUAUUCGUAUUCCGUUGUCAGAGGUGAAAUUCUUGGAUUUACGGAAGACGAACUACUGCGAAAGCAUUUACCAAGGAUGUUUUCAUUAA